Molecule: non-coding RNA, 176 nt
Organism: Pelobates cultripes (western spadefoot toad)
Lineage: Eukaryota; Metazoa; Chordata; Amphibia; Anura; Pelobatidae
Source: the annotation of a GenBank genome assembly
GCUAGAGCACUUUUUCAAUGUGUUCCCCAACGAGAAGGCAACGACGCAUUCGUAUGUCAAUCCAUAUCAACUUUCGAUUCCAUUCACUGCGCCUACCAUGGGGACCACGGGUAACGGGGAAUCAGGGUUCGAUUCCGUACAGGGACCCUGACAAACGGCUACCACAUGCAAGGAAG